RNAcentral lists this transfer RNA (76 nucleotides) under Bacteroidales bacterium. RNAcentral describes it as "tRNA-Lys". It matches the Rfam family "tRNA". Rfam says of the family: Transfer RNA (tRNA) molecules are approximately 80 nucleotides in length. Lineage: Bacteria; Pseudomonadati; Bacteroidota; Bacteroidia; Bacteroidales. The record is from RNAcentral.
GUUUCAGUAGCUCAGCAGGUAGAGCACAUCCCUUUUAAGGAUGGGGUCCCGGGUUCGAAUCCCGGCUGGAACACCA